GUUCAACAGUUUGUCAUUUCCAUUGGAGACUCGGAAGGGAGAGGGUGAGAGAGGGGUGAAGAAUGAGAAAUUACUUACAGGUACAGUGUAAACUAUUUAGAUGAUGGCUGCACUAGUGGCCUGGCCUUCAGCCCUAGGCAAUAUACCCAUGCCACAAAACUGCAUGUGUACCCCCUAAAAUCUAAUUUUAAAAAUAAGAGAUUAAAAAGACGGUUUUUUAAUUUGUGUGUUUAGGUCAUUUCAUUUAAUAACCAUUAUGCUUACAUUUAGGUCUACCAUUUAAAGUUUGUUUUCUGUUUAUCCUUUGUUAUUUGUUCCUCUGUUUCCCCUUUUGGCCUUCUUUUUUGGAUUAUUUAAGUACUUUAUUCCAUUUUUCACGUAUCUAUUGGGGUUUUGACUAUGUUGUUUGUAUAGCUUUAUGUUUUCCUUUGUAUAUUUUUACUUAUUUGUAUUUUUUUUUCCAAUGAAUAUGCAUUAUUUGGACAAUGAAGAAAGGCAAACUGUAAAAGACAAAAAGAAAAAGAAGGACCUCCAGAGUGGCAGAAUAACUCCUCGCCUGUCAGGUUUUAUCCCACCCAGGAUGUACCUCAUAAAAGGCACCUGGGUUUUUUCUGGAUGUGGGAACCUGUGGUAGAAGGGAGCCACCCGUCUCACCAGAAAACAGGUCUGUCACACACUGCCCUGUCCGUUUGGAAUUUAGGGCCUUCUAGUCCCAGCAGCAACAAUCCAGAGAAUCUUAUUUUGAUCUUGAUCCAAGUUUAGGUUCCAAACUUCAAAUCUGGCUGUCUCACAAUGGGCCUAAGGAAUUCCUUUCAGUGUUGUGGCCUCUCUGUCCCUCUCUUGAAUUGACAACAGAUGCCUAACUAAAAGAAUUAACAAAUUCCUUGUAUCAGAAGGUGAGAGGACGUCUCUCUUCAUCUAUUAGUGCAGAGGAUAUUGAAUCUGCCCUUGGAAAGAAAGAAUCCUUGGUCUGAAAACAAAGUCCAUGCUUCACACCAUUAUGCCCACUGUCCAGGCCCAACUUCUGGAAUCAGGGAGUCUAGAAAAAGCUUCAUCCAUCAAGUGGCCAGACAGCUCCUGGCUGAGGUCUAUGCCACCAGCAUCUCUCGUCUUCCUGUCUUGCUUAAGGCCUCCAGGAACCAACCAGCUCUGCUGAAGUGGGUGAGAUCCCAGAUUCAAAGAAGUGGGCACAACGAUUGGUCAUCUGAACCUCUAAGGAAGAAGGAAGUGUGAAUCACAUGUGAUUAGAAAUAGCUCAAGCAUCUGACAGAUAACUGUGUGCCUGGGUGACUCGAAAUGGCAGGGGGCAUGUGCCUAAAUAUCUCAACAGUAUUCUUAUCCCUGAAUCCCCCAGUGUUCUGUUCUGUUCUCCUGAUAAUGGUGUCACUCUGAGGGUUUCUGGAAAGUCCUGUGGAGGUUUAUGCCCAUGACUCAGGCAUCCAACAAAGAUACAGUGCUAAGAAAAAACACUGAGCUCAAUUUGAGACAUGACAUUAGCUAGAGCACAUAAUGGAAAGCAGGGCAAGGGAGGAAAUAUGUGUGAAUUUAGGCAUAAAAAGAAAGAACACAGGAUUGGGAUUUGACUUAUCCUUCCCUUGUGGCUGGGCCAAGGGAGGGCCCUGAGUGCAUGCGAGUGCCUGCAAAUGCUCAGCUGUGGGCACAACUUCUCACAUUCUGUGACAUCCUCUGUUUCCUGGCCUGUUCCCAUGGGACUCUUCUGUCCUGACCUUUCAUCAUGGAUGGUCUCUGGGUGGCUAUUGAAGUGAUUAAACUACUUCCUGAACUCUGAUAUAGAUAGAGGCAAAGGACAGACUUGGAUUUGCUGUCUUUCUCCUCCUCCCCGGCUUGUGCCUUUAUCUUGUCCUGUAUUAGUUCAAGAAUCCAUAUGAGUCCCCAACUGACAGAAAUAGAAGUCCAGGCUCCACAGCCAGGCACCCAAGACUGUCCCAUCCUGAAUGCCUUUGAGGGCCCUGUAUGAUCCUCCCAGGCCAGCCAAAUGGUGGGUCUGCCACCCUAAGAUUUCCUGCUCACAUUUUCUUCUGCCACCACACCAUGACCUUGGCAGUGCUCCUUCAGAGCCUAGUUUCAUACUUACCUUUUCUCAAUCUACAGGGACUUAUUUUCCUUCUCAACCACAAUAGCAACAGUCUACUCCAUGCUCCUAGGACUCCCUAAGAACUUGUAGCCUAUUGACAUGUCUUGCUAACAUUUCAUGCAUGCGUGUGUACAUGUGUGUAUGCAAGUGUAUAUCUUGACUCCCAACUGACUUACAAGCUCUCAAAGGUCAAAAGCCAUUAUUAUCCUCCUUUGGAAAAUCUCUGAAGUCACUAACACUAUGUUUGUUAUAUAACAGAAUGUUAAGGAACUUUUCCUGUUACUUGAGUAUUGACAAUUAGGAUCUACAAAUGAGGACAAAGUUCUGUACCCCAAAUUUUGUGACGAGCCAAAAAUAUUUGGAAGGCAAGUGCCUGUUUGGGUUUUUAAUAGCUCUGCUACCAUAUCUACCACCUUAUCAUCUCCCUCUGUUGCUUAUUUAUUUAUGUAGAUCUGACAAUUGGGUGUGGGCUGAGGAGAGUGGAAUGAGGAGAAGGAUUGCUGGAAAAUUAUUUGAGUGGUGAGUUGUCAGCCUUUCUCAUCUCAGUGGGGAUGGAGAGGUCUGUGUUCCACAGGAAACAUUCCUUAGAUGAGGGUGGCUCCUAUAAGAAAAGGGAGAUAGACAUUACAUUUCCUGGCUGGAGGUCUUAAUUAGCACAGUUGAUUAGCUUAAUUAGCACAAUUGAUGAUCUACCACUUGUACCUAUUUGAGUAGUGAAGAAGAAAGGUGAGUAGAGAUGCAAGUGUGGAGAUUGGCCUCAGCAGCAGAACAUGGCCAAGUAUGUAUGAGUUUCAUGUAAGUUAAGUAGACAUGGAAGGUUCCUGGGAUUGAGCUAUCUUGCUGGUACCUCCUGCUGGCUGAUGGAUGUGAUAACACUUGGCAUAAGAGACUGGAUAUGAAACCAUUAAGAGGUUUAGGAAGAUGUCAAGCUGGGGUGGAUUUCCCCUGUGCAGAGUGGAGGCCCCCUUCAAAGACCCAGUAAACUUACCCAUAAGCCCCAUUGGAGAGCCCGCACUGGGGUGCCUUUCUUACUGAGGGCAGUGACAGUCUAGGCAGGCAACAACCAUGCCAAUUAAGUCAAAACUCUACUACUUUCUCCUUAUUAGUACCUCCUGUUUGAGGACACCAGAGGAGAAAAUGUCCUAAAAAUAGGAGGAAUGAAAAGGUGGAACAUGCUCCCUCCCUUUUCUGGCCUGGCUAGGUCUGAAUCUGGGGAAGAGCAGGAAGUGAAAUGGACAUUCAUUUGGAAAUGAGAUUGAGGAUUUAAAUUGAGAUUAGGAAGUUAUAGAGCAUAUCCAACAAAUAAAUAGGGGACAAGAGAAAGAUCUGAGAGGACAUCAUUUAAUACAUCAGUGGAAGAAAAAUUGUUUGGUAUGUGAACUCUAUUGAGUGCAAAUAAUUUAAUAAACAUGUUCUAUUGACUACAUGACACUGAUAAAAUUAAUUAUAAUCUACUGAUCUUCUCUCCCGACCACCUCCCCCCACCACUUAUUUCCUCAUGGAAUGCAAAACUAGGGUAGUACUAGAUUCCAUUAUAUCAUAAGGGUUGUGAUCACAGUGGGCUGAGCAUCACCUGAUGAGCUCAUCAAUAGACAGGACAUUGAAUGAAAAUAUGUCUUCAGAGUCAUAACCUUUACAAAUUCUGUUCCAUGAUGUUCAGGAUGCGUCUUGGAGCAUCUUUAAGGGCUGUAGCAGUAGGUUAGAAAGGACACUUGAUACAUUUGGCUCUGGGCCCCCAGGCCUGGCUUAAUCAGAGAUUUCAAAUAUUUAUUUAUGUUUUUUGUAUUUUUUGGAAAAAAAUACUUCUAUGGUUAAAAAUAAUUAAAAUUCAUUGGCCUAACAUCUCCUAACCUAAUGUGCACAUCUACAUCCCCAUGGAGCCGUCAUCAUUCAAAAGACCUUCAGUGAAAAAAACAGUCAACCCCUGUCUGCCAGACCCUAUGCUAGAUUCUGGAUACAAAGAAGAACACAUAAUUAGCAGGUUGAUUUUUGGAGAUUUUUCUCUUCUCCCUGCUUAUUACCUGAAGUUACACAGGAAGUUCAGAGAAAGAAGAUUAUAAAAAUGUUUGGUGCAGAUUAAUGAUUCCAUCUUCUACCCUUGAUCUGCAACAUGCAUGCAACUAGGAGGCAGGUGGAAGGAAAGCAGGUAUAUUUCAAAUUAUCCAGAUGCUCCUGGAUUCCUAUCUUAGCUGUGCACUGAUAAAUAGUUUCAUAGAUAAAUUGACAUCUCAACACAUUGUGUAAUACCUAGAGGGAGCAAAUAAUCAAUAUU
Macaca mulatta (Rhesus monkey) is the source of this 4367-nucleotide long non-coding RNA. The record is from Ensembl. Lineage: Eukaryota; Metazoa; Chordata; Mammalia; Primates; Cercopithecidae.